Non-coding RNA from Pelobates cultripes (western spadefoot toad), 203 nucleotides. The record is from the annotation of a GenBank genome assembly. Lineage: Eukaryota; Metazoa; Chordata; Amphibia; Anura; Pelobatidae.
CUCUGCUGACGUCAACAAGGGAGCAUGGAGCUGGAAUAAGGUAAGCUGCUGAAGAGGUGGGAGCACCUUCAGGGCACUAUAGUGUCAGGAAAACUGCUUUGUUUUCCUGACACUAUAGUGAUCCUUUAAGAUGUGAAACGGGAGUGAGGAAAUCAGCUGUAUUGACUUGCGCACCACGGAAUACACAAGGAUAUCAAGUUACU